This 253-nucleotide ribosomal RNA is filed under the name uncultured bacterium. RNAcentral's name for it is "partial 16S ribosomal RNA". It matches the Rfam family "Bacterial small subunit ribosomal RNA", at positions 524 to 776 of the family's 1533-position model. The record is from RNAcentral.
UACGUAGGGCGCAAGCGUUGUCCGGAUUUAUUGGGCGUAAAGAGCUCGUAGGCGGUCUGUCGCGUCGGCUGUGAAACCCCGAGGCUCAACCUCGGGCCUGCAGUCGAUACGGGCAGACUAGAGUGCGGUAGGGGAGACUGGAAUUCCUGGUGUAGCGGUGAAAUGCGUAGAGAUGUGGAGGAACACCGAUGGCGAAGGCAGCCCCCUGGGCUGAGAUUGACGCUCAGGCACGAAAGCGUGGGGAGCAAACAGG